CCUACGGGCGGCUGCAGUGGGGGAUAUUGCACAAUGGGGGAAACCCUGAUGCAGCGACGCCGCGUGGGUGAAGAAGUAUUUCGGUAUGUAAAGCCCUAUCAGCAGGGAAGAAAGAAGACGGUACCUGACUAAGAAGCCCCGGCUAACUACGUGCCAGCAGCCGCGGUAAUACGUAGGGGGUGAGCGUUAUCCGGAUUCACUGGGUGUAAAGGGAGCGUAGACGGCCGUGCAAGCCAGGAGUGAAAGCCCGGGGCCCAACCCCGGGACUGCUAUUGGAACUGUGCGGCUGGAGUGCGGGAGGGGCAGGCGGAAUUCCUGGUGUAGCGGUGAAAUGCGUAGAUAUCAGGAGGAACACCGGCGGCGAAGGCGGCCUGCUGGACCGCGACUGACGUUGAGGCUCGAAAGCGUGGGGAGCGAACAGGAUUAGAUACCCUUGUAGUC
This 441-nucleotide ribosomal RNA is filed under the name uncultured bacterium. RNAcentral describes it as "partial 16S ribosomal RNA". It matches the Rfam family "Bacterial small subunit ribosomal RNA", at positions 338 to 795 of the family's 1533-position model. The record is from RNAcentral.